GGGUGCGAUCAUACCAGCACUAAUGCACCGGAUCCCAUCAGAAUUCCGCAGUUAGACGAGUUCGAGCCGAGCUUGAAGCUUACCGAGCCGAACUUUGUUCGAGUCGAGCUUU
RNAcentral lists this ribosomal RNA (112 nucleotides) under Beta vulgaris subsp. vulgaris (sugar beet). The record is from RNAcentral. Lineage: Eukaryota; Viridiplantae; Streptophyta; Magnoliopsida; Caryophyllales; Amaranthaceae.